AGCAGCCGCGGUAAUUCCAGCUCCAAUAGCGUAUAUUAAAGUUGUUGCAGUUAAAAAGCUCGUAGUUGAACUUCGGGAUCAAGGAAUCGGUCAUGCCUUGGUAUGUACUGGUUUUAUUGGUUCUCACCUUCUAAAGAACCAUGAUGUCAUUCAUUUGAUGUUGUGGGGAAUCAGGACUGUUACUUUGAAAAAAUUAGAGUGUUUAAAGCAGGCUCACGCUUGAAUACAUUAGCAUGGAAUAAUGAAAUAGGACGUUUGAUUCUAUUUUGUUGGUUUCUAGGAUCGACGUAAUGAUUAAUAGGGAUAGUUGGGGGCAUUAGUAUUCAAUUGUCAGAGGUGAAAUUCUUGGAUUUAUUGAAGACUAACUACUGCGAAAGCAUUUGCCAAGGAUGUUUUCAUUAAUCAAGAACGAAAGUUAGGGGAUCGAAGACGAUCAGAUACCGUCGUAGUCUUAACCAUAAACUAUGCCGACUAGGGAUCGGAUGAUGUUAAUUUUUAAUGA
This 502-nucleotide ribosomal RNA is filed under the name uncultured Glomus. RNAcentral's name for it is "SSU rRNA". It matches the Rfam family "Eukaryotic small subunit ribosomal RNA", at positions 569 to 1074 of the family's 1831-position model. The record is from RNAcentral. Lineage: Eukaryota; Fungi; Glomeromycota; Glomeromycetes; Glomerales; Glomeraceae.